UACGUAGGGUGCAAGCGUUGUCCGGAAUUAUUGGGCGUAAAGAGCUCGUAGGCGGUCUGUCACGUCGGCUGUGAAAACCCGAGGCUCAACCUCGGGCCUGCAGUCGAUACGGGCAAACUAGAGUACUGCAGGGGAGACUGGAAUUCCUGGUGUAGCGGUGAAAUGCGCAGAUAUCAGGAGGAAUACCGGUGGCGAAGGCGGCAUCCUGGACCGGCAUUGACGCUGAACAGCGAAAGCGAGGGGAGCAAACGGG
This 253-nucleotide ribosomal RNA is filed under the name uncultured bacterium. Its description in RNAcentral is "partial 16S ribosomal RNA". It matches the Rfam family "Bacterial small subunit ribosomal RNA", at positions 524 to 776 of the family's 1533-position model. The record is from RNAcentral.